AGUGAACGCUGGCGGUAGGCCUAACACAUGCAAGUCGAACGGCAGCACAGUAAGAGCUUGCUCUUACGGGUGGCGAGUGGCGGACGGGUGAGGAAUACAUCGGAAUCUACUUUUUCGUGGGGGAUAACGUAGGGAAACUUACUCUAAUACCGCAUACGACCUACGGGUGAAAGCAGGGGAUCUUCGGACCUUGCGCGAUUGAAUGAGCCGAUGUCGGAUUAGCUAGUUGGCGGGGUAAAGGCCCACCAAGGCGACGAUCCGUAGCUGGUCUGAGAGGAUGAUCAGCCACACUGGAACUGAGACACGGUCCAGACUCCUACGGGAGGCAGCAGUGGGGAAUAUUGGACAAUGGGCGCAAGCCUGAUCCAGCCAUACCGCGUGAGUGCAGAAGGCCUUCGGGUUGUAAAGCCCUUUUGUUGGGAAAGAAAAGCAGCAGGUUAAUCCCCCGCUGUUCUGACGGUACCCAAAGAAUAAGCACCGGCUAACUUCGUG
Molecule: ribosomal RNA, 492 nt
Filed under: uncultured bacterium
Lineage: Bacteria
Description: partial 16S ribosomal RNA
Rfam family: Bacterial small subunit ribosomal RNA
Source: RNAcentral